UAAAAUCUUACACCGUAUCCUGGUUGAUAAAUGCAUGCAGGUGUUCUUGUGACCUUGAGUUAGCUAUCAUCUCUUUUUCAGUUCAUGUCUACUGCUCUCCAUUUCUCUAAAGCACCCUCUUCUAUACCCUUCACAUAUUUCUUCUCCUUUUAUUUUUUAAACAAUUCUUAAAUUGUUUGUCCUCAAUCCUCUUAAUAAAAUGUUCAAACUCUUAUUCCAGUAGCCAUAGCUUUUAAAUAAAACCAUCAUGUAUGUGGUCAAUAAACACCUACUGAAUGCAUACUAUAUGUUGUGUGCUAGUAGGCUCUGGAUCACAGAAUGCAUACAAUUUACUUCUUGUCCUCCACCUUCUGGCAUCAUGAUUUUUGGCUCAGACAUUAGCAACAUUAUCACUAUCAUUUCAUAGAUGAGAAAAUUAAGCUUGGAGAGUUUAAGUAAUAUUUGCCCAAGGUUCCAUGGUUAUAAGUGUAGAGACAGGAUUCAAAUUGAGGUCUGGAUCCUCAGAAUCCACAUCAAAUUCUUAUGGAAGUCUGCAUUCCUUUUGAUUGGUGGAGAAUUGGGUUAAACUGGUUUCUAGAAAUUAUUUGAACCCCAAAGUGAUAAGUAAGAUAUUUUAUUAGAUUGGCAUGUAUAUGGUAACCACAAUGUGAAUGGAAGGUAAUAAUUUUUGUUUUGUUUUGUUCUCAGAACUUGUAUAAAGACAAUUGCAAGAGAAAUUCUAAAAAUAUGUUGACUACUGACAGCCUUCCUAGUUUUACAAGACAAAUGAUGUCUUUCCUGUAAUUCUGAAUUGAUAAAAGGAUUGAAGGGAAACUUUAAUGCCUCUAUUUCGAGACAGAAAUGUUGGACUUCAUAAAGCUAUUACUCAUCAGCUGACAAGACUAAUUCAGGCAGAGUGGAGAAUGAUGUAUGCAAGGACCAACAACAUAUGACAGCUAGGAUGUUGAUUCAGUGGUGUGGUCAGGGAGACACCAUCAGGAUUUGUCAUUGUCAAAAUGGUCACACUUGGAAAACAGUCUUUUCCGGUACAGCUGUUACAGCAUUGCACAUGCACAUGUACAUAAAUAUACCUAAUUAUGCACAUUCUGACAUAAACAUAUGUGCUUACAUUUAUUGAGGAUGAUUAUGUGAGUAUCUAUAUAUAUAAAAGUCUAAGAGACUGUCCGACCGUCUGCCUGUCUGACUGGUAGCUAUGAUGUGCAAUGACCACCAGAGGGCGGAUGCUCAAUGCAGGAGCUGCCAAGCUGUGGUGACUUGGCAGCU
Myotis lucifugus (little brown bat) is the source of this 1263-nucleotide long non-coding RNA. RefSeq lists it as uncharacterized. The record is from RefSeq and is a predicted model, not a curated record. NCBI's taxonomy places the organism in Eukaryota, Metazoa, Chordata, Mammalia, Chiroptera, Vespertilionidae. The transcript has 3 exons.